This is a long non-coding RNA of Canis lupus familiaris (dog), 636 nucleotides long. RefSeq lists it as uncharacterized. The transcript has 3 exons. The record is from RefSeq and is a predicted model, not a curated record. Lineage: Eukaryota; Metazoa; Chordata; Mammalia; Carnivora; Canidae.
AAGAGAAAGAGAAAACCAAUUCCAGAAACACUCAUGAAUUUAGAAAGCUCGUCUUUAAGAUGAUGUUUCCCUAGAACCACUCUCUGUACCAAAAUCUGUAGUUGUCAAAAUUUCCCAGAGAAACAAAUAGGAUAUGUGUAUAAAACACACAUGUAUCUAUAUAGGCAAUAGAUAACUAUACUAUGGAUACGUCCAGGCAUCUAUAUGUAUAUCUAUAUAUCUAUAUCAUCUAUAUCUAUAUCUAGUCUACAUUGAGAGAGAGAAAGAGACAGAGAAAUAUUUCUUGUAAGGAAUUGGCUCACAUGCUGUGGAGGUUGGCAAAUCUAAACCCCAUAGGGUAGACUGGCAAGGUAAAGAGCCAGAGAAAAGUAACAAUUUGAGUUCAAAAACGGUCUAUUGGCAGAAUUCCCUCUUCUUCAGAGGAGGCAAGACAUUUAUUUCCUUGGGAACUGUUACAGAUUUAUUCAUGCCUCCUCUGCAAGAAAACAACUGACACUACAAAAUUAAAAAGAGCUUGGAGGAGAAGUAAGAGACCUGGAAUGAGAGUACUUCAGAUACUGAAACAUGCUACACACUAUGGGAAAACAAUGGGCUUUGGAAACAGUUGCCCUAAAGAUGAAACCCCACAUCGCCACU